AUUGAACGCUGGCGGCAUGCCUUACACAUGCGAGUCGAACGGCAGCACGGGUGCUUGCACCUGGUGGCGAGUGGCGAACGGGUGAGUAAUACAUCGGAACAUGUCCUGUAGUGGGGGAUAGCCCGGCGAAAGCCGGAUUAAUACCGCAUACGAUCUACGGAUGAAAGCGGGGGCCCUUCGGGCCUCGCGCUAUAGGGUUGGCCGAUGGCUGAUUAGCUAGUUGGUGGGGUAAAGGCCUACCAAGGCGACGAUCAGUAGCUGGUCUGAGAGGACGACCAGCCACACUGGGACUGAGACACGGCCCAGACUCCUACGGGAGGCAGCAGUGGGGAAUUUUGGACAAUGGGCGAAAGCCUGAUCCAGCAAUGCCGCGUGUGUGAAGAAGGCCUUCGGGUUGUAAAGCACUUUUGUCCGGAAAGAAAUCCUUGGCCCUAAUACGGUCGGGGGAUGACGGUACCGGAAGAAUAAGCACCGGCUAACUACGUG
Molecule: ribosomal RNA, 486 nt
Filed under: uncultured bacterium
Lineage: Bacteria
Description: partial 16S ribosomal RNA
Rfam family: Bacterial small subunit ribosomal RNA
Source: RNAcentral